Molecule: long non-coding RNA, 1648 nt
Filed under: Vitis vinifera (wine grape)
Lineage: Eukaryota; Viridiplantae; Streptophyta; Magnoliopsida; Vitales; Vitaceae
Description: long non-coding RNA (VVIN_LNC007029)
Source: RNAcentral
UUGAACCUACUAGAUACACCACCUUAAUCUAAUCGAAGUGCCUUGAUAUGUUUAACAAAUAGGUUAUCUGAUUUUACCUUAAAUUCAAUGAAUUUGAAUUUAUCCAAGGCAUCGGAUUUCCUAUCUUCAUAUCGAAACCUAGAGUAUUUAUUAGUAAAAUUAUCAAAUACCCAUGUUUUCCAUGCAUAAACAUAAAAAGGUUUAUACACGUCAGUAUGUACUGACUCCAAACAUUCCUUGGUCCCAAGUCCUUUUAGAAAUAAAGGGGGUCUUUUGGUCAUCUUACUAUCUAUACAAUAUUCGUAGACUGAAAGAUCCUCUAGAAUAAAAGUGUCCAGACUUGAGAUCAAUCUUUGGAUUCUAUUUAGAUUAAUAUGACCUAGGCAUUAGAAGCCAAAUGUUUGAUUAAUGCUAGGUUCUUUCUUUUAGUGAGAUCUUACUAUCAUUACAUGGCAAAGUGAUAAUGGAGUCUCACAUAAAAAAGGAAAUACCUCCCACUAACUUACACAACUAACCUUGCAACUAAAGUUAAGGUAAGUACAAUCCUAUCAAGUGACCUUCUCACUUGUUGAUAAUGGGCCUAGAAUCUAUCCACCAUAAUUGGUGAAAUCCACCACUAUGAGUUCAACAACGAGAACAUGUUGUGUACUUGCCUAUCCUUAGGCACUCCAAGAAUUCAUUUUCUAAUGUCUUAAAAGGUCAUAAAGGAAUCAUUCCCUAUAAGUUUGUUCUCUCAUUCCUUUUCUUGAACUUUACUUAUUUGGUGUUGUUCUUCUUAUUCUUGGUAGAAGAGCCUGAAGAACCUUGACUUCCAUAUGUACACCCUUCUACUAUUUUAGAAUCUUCUUACCCAUCCAAAAGGAAUUUGGUAAGACCUCUAAGAUAAUAUGAAUCCUAGUAUUCAUAAUAUUCCUAAGGGUAACUUGUCUAGUUGACAACCUUUAUCACCAAAUAACCCUUGCAACUUUAAAAAUAAAUCAUAGACCAUGGCAAUGGACAUGUGUUGCUUUUUCAACACAUUAUCUAACGAUCUAAGUAUGAGACACUUAGUUUUUUGAUCUAUCUUAUGCCACUUUUGAUAUGCUUCUCUUACUUUAUGAUAGGUUUGUUCAAAGGAAAUAACAAACUCUUAUUAAAUCAACUUUUAUACAAUUAAUACUAUAUUUAGAUUAUUUUCAAUCUAUAACUAGGUCUAAUUUAAACAUGAGAUAAGAGGUGACAUGUUAAAGACAUGAUAUCUAUAAUAAAUAUAAUAAUUCCAUGUAUUAAUAAAACGAACUUAACAUUCAAGGCAAGUUGGUAAUUAAUUUAGCAAAAAUGUAGUGCUUUGAAACUACACGUCCUUUUACAAGGUAUCCUAGUAUCAUAAGAAUCAAGCCUCACUACAAGAAAUAGGAUUUUAGGUGACGGUCCUCAACCAUCACCAAAUCUUAUAUAUCCGUGACCAAAACCUAUCGUCACGGUCUUAUGAAAUCGUGAUCGAACAUCACAGUACGAGGCGUAGCUAAAGGUAUUGGUCAUGGUUUCCUAAGUAAUCAUGACCAUAUGAUUUCUUUUUUUGUGACAGCUAUACAAAAACUGUGACCAAAAGUUAAGAAUACUUUGUUGUUUAUUAGUUGAUUUAGUCAUAGUCAGGUAAUAAGUCGUG